This 440-nucleotide ribosomal RNA is filed under the name uncultured bacterium. RNAcentral's name for it is "partial 16S ribosomal RNA". It matches the Rfam family "Bacterial small subunit ribosomal RNA", at positions 338 to 795 of the family's 1533-position model. The record is from RNAcentral.
CCUACGGGGUGCAGCAGUGGGGGAUAUUGCACAAUGGGGGGAACCCUGAUGUAGCGACGCCGCGUGUGGGAAGACGGUCCUCUGGAUUGUAAACCACUGUCCCCAGGGACGAAAAUGACGGUACCUGGGGAGGAAGCUCCGGCUAACGACGUACCAGCAGCCGCGGUAAUACGUAGGGAGCGAGCGUUGUCCGGAAUUACUGGGUGUAAAGGGAGCGAAGGUGGGGAUGAAAGUUGGGUGUCAAAACUACCGGCUCAACUGGUAGUCGCACUCAAAACUGCAGCUCUUGAGUGAAGUAGAGGCAGGCGGAAUUCCUAGUGUAGCGGUGAAAUGCGUAGAUAUUAGGAGGAACACCGGUGGCGAAGGCGGCCUGCUGGGCUUUUACUGACGCUGAGGCUCGAAAGUGUGGGGAGCAAACAGGAUUAGAUACCCCUGUAGUC